This 925-nucleotide ribosomal RNA is filed under the name uncultured bacterium. RNAcentral describes it as "bacterial SSU rRNA". It matches the Rfam family "Bacterial small subunit ribosomal RNA", at positions 8 to 916 of the family's 1533-position model. The record is from RNAcentral.
AGAGUUUGAUCCUGGCUCAGGACGAACGCUGGCGGCGUGCAUAAUACAUGCAAGUCGAGCGAAUCAUUAGGAGCUUGCUCUGAUGAUUAGCGGCGGACGGGUGAGUAACACGUGGGCAACCUGCCUGUAAGACUGGGAUAACACCGGGAAACCGGUGCUAAUACCGGAUAAUUCUUUUCCUCUCAUGAGGAAAAGCUGAAAGUCGGUUUCGGCUGACACUUACAGAUGGGCCCGCGGCGCAUUAGCUAGUUGGUGAGGUAACGGCUCACCAAGGCGACGAUGCGUAGCCGACCUGAGAGGGUGAUCGGCCACACUGGGACUGAGACACGGCCCAGACUCCUACGGGAGGCAGCAGUAGGGAAUCUUCCGCAAUGGACGAAAGUCUGACGGAGCAACGCCGCGUGAGUGAUGAAGGCCUUCGGGUCGUAAAACUCUGUUGUUAGGGAAGAACAAGUACCGGAGUAACUGCCGGUACCUUGACGGUACCUAACCAGAAAGCCACGGCUAACUACGUGCCAGCAGCCGCGGUAAUACGUAGGUGGCAAGCGUUGUCCGGAAUUAUUGGGCGUAAAGCGCGCGCAGGCGGUCCUUUAAGUCUGAUGUGAAAGCCCACGGCUCAACCGUGGAGGGUCAUUGGAAACUGGGGGACUUGAGUGCAGAAGAGGAAAGCGGAAUUCCACGUGUAGCGGUGAAAUGCGUAGAGAUGUGGAGGAACACCAGUGGCGAAGGCGGCUUUCUGGUCUGUAACUGACGCUGAGGCGCGAAAGCGUGGGGAGCAAACAGGAUUAGAUACCCUGGUAGUCCACGCCGUAAACGAUGAGUGCUAAGUGUUAGAGGGUUUCCGCCCUUUAGUGCUGCAGCUAACGCAUUAAGCACUCCGCCUGGGGAGUACGGCCGCAAGGCUGAAACUCAAAGGAAUUGACGG